Non-coding RNA from Stachybotrys elegans, 86 nucleotides. The record is from the annotation of a GenBank genome assembly. NCBI's taxonomy places the organism in Eukaryota, Fungi, Ascomycota, Sordariomycetes, Hypocreales, Stachybotryaceae.
CUCUCUGUGGUGUAGUUGGCUAUCACGUCGGGCUGUAAUAGGAUAUUGUUACCUGAAGGUCACCGGUUCAAUUCCGGUCGGAGAGA